This 253-nucleotide ribosomal RNA is filed under the name uncultured microorganism. Its description in RNAcentral is "partial 16S ribosomal RNA". It matches the Rfam family "Bacterial small subunit ribosomal RNA", at positions 524 to 776 of the family's 1533-position model. The record is from RNAcentral.
UACGUAGGGUGCGAGCGUUAAUCGGAUUUACUGGGCGUAAAGGGCGCGUAGGCGGCCGCGCAAGUCUGGUGUGAAAGCCCAGGGCUUAACCCUGGAAGGGCACUGGAAACUGUGCGGCUUGAGUGCCGGAGAGGAGGGGGGAAUUCCCGGUGUAGCGGUGAAAUGCGUAGAUAUCGGGAGGAAUACCGGUGGCGAAGGCGCCCCUCUGGACGGUAACUGACGCUGAGGCGCGAAAGCGUGGGGAGCAAACAGG